This 1611-nucleotide ribosomal RNA is filed under the name Chaetothyriales sp. MP-2014. Its description in RNAcentral is "eukaryotic LSU rRNA". The stretch from base 690 to 1611 matches the Rfam family "Eukaryotic large subunit ribosomal RNA", at positions 1 to 943 of the family's 3401-position model. Lineage: Eukaryota; Fungi; Ascomycota; Eurotiomycetes; Chaetothyriales. The record is from RNAcentral.
AUGGCUCAGUGAGGCCUUGGGACUGGCUCAGAGAGGUCGGCAACGACCACUCAGAGCCGGAAACUUGGUCAAACUUGGUCAUUUAGAGGAAGUAAAAGUCGUAACAAGGUUUCCGUAGGUGAACCUGCGGAAGGAUCAUUACCGAGUUAGGGUCCCUUGGGCCCGAACCUCCCAACCCUUUGUAUACUUGACCUCUGUUGCUUCGGCGGGCCCGUCCUUUACCGGACCGCCGGAGGACCGUCGCCCUGCGGCGUCCUCUGGCCCGUGCCCGUCGAUGGCCAACCUUUAAAAUUCUAUGCUGAAAUCAUGUUAUUUGUCUGAAUCCACAAAAGCAAAAUAAAGCAAAACUUUCAACAACGGAUCUCUUGGUUCUGGCAUCGAUGAAGAACGCAGCGAAAUGCGAUAAGUAAUGCGAAUUGCAGAAUUCCAGUGAGUCAUCGAAUCUUUGAACGCACAUUGCGCCCUUUGGUAUUCCGAAGGGCAUGCCUGUUCGAGCGUCAUUAUCACCCCUCAAGCCCUGUGCUUGGCGUUGGAUGGCCUGGUCGCGGUGCGUCGCGACCCCUCCCAAAGACAAUGACGGCGGCCUGCGGUUCCCCCGGCACACUGAGCUUCUCACCGAGCACGUGUCGGAUCAUUGGGUGCGCGGGCCACGGUCCUCUUCCUAGUGGCUAGGAAACUUCACACAAGGUUGACCUCGGAUCAGGUAGGAAUACGCGCUGAACUUAAGCAUAUCAAUAAGCGCAGGAAAAGAAACCAACAGGGAUUGCCUCAGUAACGGCGAGUGAAGCGGCAACAGCUCAAAUUUGAAAUCUGGCCUCUUGGGGUCCGAGUUGUAAUUUGUAGAGGAUGUUUUGGGUACCGCCCCGGUCUAAAUUUCUUGGAACAGAAUGUCAAAGAGGGUGAGAAUCCCGUCUUGGACCGGCGGUAGGGCCUGUGUAAAACUCCUUCGACGAGUCGAGUUGUUUGGGAAUGCAGCUCAAAAUGGGUGGUAAAUUUCAUCUAAAGCUAAAUAUUGGCCAGAGACCGAUAGCGCACAAGUAGAGUGAUCGAAAGAUGAAAAGCACUUUGAAAAGAGAGUUAAACAGUAUGUGAAAUUGUUGAAAGGGAAGCGCUUGCAACCAGACUUGCGCGCGGCGGUUCCCCUUGCCUUUUGGUCAGGGUACUCCGUCGCGUUCAGGCCAACAUCGGUUUUGGGGGCCAGUUAAAGGCCCUGGGAAUGUACCUACCUACGGGUAGACUUAUAGACCAGGGUGCCAUGUGGCCUCCCGGGACCGAGGAACGCGCUUCGGCUCGGAUGUUGGCGUAAUGGUUGUCAGCGACCCGUCUUGAAACACGGACCAAGGAGUCUAACAUCUAUGCGAGUGUUUGGGUGUCAAACCCGGAACGCGGAAUGAAAGUGAACGGAGGUAGGAAGCUUCGGCUGCACUAUCGACCGAUCCUGAAGUUUACGGAUGGAUUUGAGUAAGAGCAUAGCUGUUGGGACCCGAAAGAUGGUGAACUAUGCCUGAAUAGGGUGAAGCCAGAGGAAACUCUGGUGGAGGCUCGCAGCGGUUCUGACGUGCAAAUCGAUCGUCAAAUUUGGGUAUAGGGGCGAAAGACUAAUCGAACCAU